This 465-nucleotide ribosomal RNA is filed under the name uncultured bacterium. Its description in RNAcentral is "partial 16S ribosomal RNA". It matches the Rfam family "Bacterial small subunit ribosomal RNA", at positions 338 to 795 of the family's 1533-position model. The record is from RNAcentral.
CCUACGGGAGGCAGCAGUAGGGAAUCUUCCACAAUGGGCGAAAGCCUGAUGGAGCAACGCCGCGUGGGUGAAGAAGGUCUUCGGAUCGUAAAACCCUGUUGUUAGAGAAGAAAGUGCGUGAGAGUAACUGUUCACGUUUCGACGGUAUCUAACCAGAAAGCCCCGUCUAACUACGUGCCAGCAGCCGCGGUAAUACGUAGGGGGCAAGCGUUAGCCGGAUUUAUUGGGCGAAAAGGGAACGCAGGCGGUCUUUUAAGUCUGAUGUGAAAGCCUACGGCUUAACCGGAGUAGGGCAUUGGAAACUGGAAGACUGGAGUGCAGAAGAGGAGAGUGGAACUCCAUGUGUAGCGGUGAAAUGCGUAGAUAUAUGGAAGAACACCAGUGGCGAAGGCGGCUCUCUGGUCUGUAACUGACGCUGAGGUUCGAAAGCGUGGGUAGCAAACAGGAUUAGAUACCCGGGUAGUC